GACGAACGCUGGCGGCGUGCUUAACACAUGCAAGUCGAACGGUAAGGCCCUUCGGGGUACACGAGUGGCGAACGGGUGAGUAACACGUGGGUGAUCUGCCCUGCACUUCGGGAUAAGCCUGGGAAACUGGGUCUAAUACCGGAUAGGACCACUGCCUGCAUGGGUGGUGGUGGAAAGCUUUUGCGGUGUGGGAUGGGCCCGCGGCCUAUCAGCUUGUUGGUGGGGUGAUGGCCUACCAAGGCGACGACGGGUAGCCGGCCUGAGAGGGUGACCGGCCACACUGGGACUGAGAUACGGCCCAGACUCCUACGGGAGGCAGCAGUGGGGAAUAUUGGACAAUGGGCGCAAGCCUGAUGCAGCGACGCCGCGUGAGGGAUGACGGCCCUCGGGUUGUAAACCUCUUUCAGCACCGACGAAGCGCAAGUGACGGUAGGUGCAGAAGAAGGACCGGCCAACUACGUGCCAGCAGCCGCCGUAA
Molecule: ribosomal RNA, 478 nt
Filed under: uncultured bacterium
Lineage: Bacteria
Description: partial 16S ribosomal RNA
Rfam family: Bacterial small subunit ribosomal RNA
Source: RNAcentral